RNAcentral lists this ribosomal RNA (367 nucleotides) under uncultured bacterium. RNAcentral describes it as "bacterial SSU rRNA". It matches the Rfam family "Bacterial small subunit ribosomal RNA", at positions 30 to 398 of the family's 1533-position model. The record is from RNAcentral.
AUUGAACGCUGGCGGCAUGCUUUAUACAUGCAAGUCGUGCGGCAGCGCGGGGGCAACUCUGGCGGCGAGCGGCGAACGGGUGAGUAAUACAUAGGAACGUAUCCUGAAAUGGGGGAUAGCGUCGGCGAAAGCCGGAUUAAUACCGCAUACGCUCCACGGAGGAAAGCAGGGGAUCGCAAGACCUUGCGUUUCUGGAGCGGCCUAUGUCUGAUUAGCUAGUGGCGGGGUAAUAGCCCACCAAGGCGACGAUCAGUAGCUGGUCUGAGAGGAUGAUCAGCCACACUGGGACUGAGACACGGCCCAGACUCCUACGGAGGCAGCAGUAGGGAAUUUUGGACAAUGGGGGCAACCCUGAUCCAGCCAUGCC